Molecule: ribosomal RNA, 467 nt
Filed under: uncultured bacterium
Lineage: Bacteria
Description: partial 16S ribosomal RNA
Rfam family: Bacterial small subunit ribosomal RNA
Source: RNAcentral
GACGAACGCUGGCGGCGUGCUUAACACAUGCAAGUCGAACGGAAAGGCCCUGCUUUUGUGGGGUGCUCGAGUGGCGAACGGGUGAGUAACACGUGAGUAACCUGCCCUUGACUUUGGGAUACUUCAGGAAACUGGGGCUAAUACCGGAUAGGAGCUCCUGCUGCAUGGUGGGGGUUGGAAAGUUUCGGCGGUUGGGGAUGGAUUCGCGGCUUAUCAGCUUGUUGGUGGGGUAGUGGCUUACCAAGGCUUUGACGGGUAGCCGGCCUGAGAGGGUGACCGGCGACAUUGGGACUGAGAUACGGCCCAGACUCCUACGGGAGGCAGCAGUGGGGAAUAUUGCACAAUGGGCGGAAGCCUGAUGCAGCAACGCCGCGUGCGGGAUGACGGCCUUCGGGUUGUAAACCGCUUUCGCCUGUGACGAAGCGUGAGUGACGGUAAUGGGUAAAGAAGCACCGGCUAACUACGUG